AGACUUUCCCUGGGACAGCACAGCGGCGCUUUUCAGUUGAAGAUACACGAGAGGAGAGAAUGAAAAAAGACCAGCAAGGAUAAAUUAAGGAGGAUGUAACAAAAUACACUGCAAGAACUGGAAUGAGAGACAAGUGAGGAUGAAGAGGACAACAGAAUAUCCAUCCUUUCUUCACCACCUCACAGAGUUUGAGUGAAACAACUUGUAUUAGGACUCACAGGAUUAUUUUAUAACAAGACUGAUUAUCUUAUACCAGAAGUUUGGUAUUUUUUUGAAGCUACUGUAUUAUUUCUUAUGACAAUUCAUUUUGAUGUGCAUUCAGAACUGUAAGUUGGUAAGUACAUUUACUGUAUUUACUGUAAGUAAAGGCUAAAGAGUAUAUCUCCUCUAGUUCUAAUUUCUAAUUCUAAGUUCUAACAACGUUCCCAAAGGUCCCAAUAAUGUUAAGCCAACAUAAAAGUGUCCAGUUUUUAAAUUGUUUAGGAAUGUUUCUUGAUUGUGCGAAUGUUAGAGGAAUGUUACAUUUUAUUUUCAGACAAUGUCAUGUUUAAAUGUACUCACAAUGUUUAAAACACAUGUUUAGUAUAUUUUAUGAAUGUUUAUAUGCAAUAUUUUAACAUAUCAUUAAGAAAUAAUGUUUUACAACAGUUUGUAAAUAAUAGAAUGUAAUGUUUUUUUAUCAUUACAAGCAAAAACAUUCAUAACGUUAUUGGGAACUUUCAAGGAACGUUCUUAGAACCUUUCUCUGUGGUUGAGCAUUGUGUUAGCAUCAUAAAACGCCAUGGGUUCAAACAAGGGAAUGCACAUGCUGAUAAAAAAUUUAUACUUUGCAUUGCACUGUAUGUUAUUUGCCUUUUUCUGUAAAUGUGAAGAUAAAUGUAAAGACAGACAGUCAUUGUUUCAUUUUAAACCAGUUCUAUUUUAAGAGAACUUAACUAGACUAAAUAAAAGGGUCACAGAAAUUUUAAUUUUGCUAUUAUGAUGCUGAUUUUGUGGUGUUAUGGGUUUUCUGGUUACAGUGGUAGUGGAUCAUGAUCACCUCUCUAGCUUCAAAAGUAGGAUGCAAAAUGUAUAACACCAAAUCAUUAUAGCAUAACUCCAUGUAACUUGACAUAAUUUAAAGUCGUCUAAAGGCAGACAUGAUUGCGUGUGAACCGAAGUCCUAUGCCAAAGACUCCAAAUACUGCAUCUACACAUGCUUCCUGAUGUGUAUAUUUUGUUAGUAUAUCCUGGUUGUUGCAGCCCUGACAGUAAACUUGACUG
Non-coding RNA from Misgurnus anguillicaudatus (oriental weatherfish), 1263 nucleotides. Lineage: Eukaryota; Metazoa; Chordata; Actinopteri; Cypriniformes; Cobitidae. The record is from RefSeq and is a predicted model, not a curated record.